AACGAACGCUGGCGGCAGGCCUAGCACAUGCAAGUCGAGCGAGGACUUCGGUCCUAGCGGCGGACGGGUGAGUAACGCGUGGGAACGUGCCCUUUGCUUCGGAAUAGCCCUGGGAAAUUGGGAGUAAUAUCGGAUGAGCCCCUUGGGGGAAAGAUGUAUCGGCGAAGGAUCGGCCCGCGUUGGAUUAGGUUGUUGGUGGGGUAAUGGCCUACCAAGCCGACGAUCCAUAGCUGGUUUGAGAGGAUGAUCAGCCACACUGCGACUGAGACACGGCCCAGACUACUACGGGAGGGAGCGGUGGGGGAUCUUAGACAAUGGGGGAAACCCUGAUCGAGCCAUGCCGGGUAAGCGAUGAAGGCGUUAGGGUUGUAAAGCUCUUUCAGCUGGGAAGAUAAUGACGGUACCAGCAGAAGAAGCCCCGGCUAACUCCGUG
This 433-nucleotide ribosomal RNA is filed under the name uncultured bacterium. RNAcentral describes it as "partial 16S ribosomal RNA". It matches the Rfam family "Bacterial small subunit ribosomal RNA", at positions 29 to 507 of the family's 1533-position model. The record is from RNAcentral.